Molecule: long non-coding RNA, 39486 nt
Filed under: Cucumis sativus (cucumber)
Lineage: Eukaryota; Viridiplantae; Streptophyta; Magnoliopsida; Cucurbitales; Cucurbitaceae
Description: long non-coding RNA (CSAT_LNC002210)
Source: RNAcentral
UUGGCCUAGGUAUUUAUCUCAUUGAUAAAUUUAAUUCAACGAUCUUCCAAUUUGUAUUUUAUUGUCAUUGCUUUAAUUGUUUAAGUGAAAUUAGGUGUAAAACUCUGAUUCGAAAAAGAUGUCUCAUUAAGAAGAACCCUUGUUCGAAAGUUGUUUUGGGUAAGUGUGGAGAUAUACCACAAGGAAGAAUGCGAAGAGAAGAGUGUAAGCCAAAUGUCCUAUCACAUGAAGGUGAGUAAGGUGAUAAGAAUAGCAGACAAGAAAGGCAAUAUGUUGAGUGAGGCAUUGAAAGGAUACCACAAGAAGUAUCUGUACCUACGAGAUUGAGGCAAAGAAUUAAACGUCUUGUCAAACGACAUGACAACUCGCUAUGAAAAAAAAAACGACGGUAGCUUCUUCGGAAAGAGAACGGAGACAGUUAGACAAUUAAGAGUUUGACUUCCCAAUGAGAUAAGAUGUGUGUCUCAAAGGAAAAAUCAAAUCAUCGUUGACAAAUAGGCUACGUGUCGAAUUCAGAUUGGUAGCAUUAUUUUAUUCUAAAUUUUCUCUAAUUUUACUUUCCCUCCUAAACUUUUUCACUAAAAAAUUAGAAAAGAACCCUUUUCUUUGUUUCCCUCUCUCCAUCUCACUCCUUUCUCUUUUAUUUUCUACCUUCAUCUCCACGAAACCCAAUUCUACCUCUUAUCUUCGUCUCCACGAAACCCAUUUGAACGACCACACGGAAUAACAAGGAUAGAUUUUGCUAUUGUUGUUGUGAGGAUGAGAUGUGGGAGAGGUUGAAACCGAAAAUGGCAACACACACCAUGUUUGAUAUGUUUUUCUACUUCUUUUUCUCUAUUGGAAUUCAUAUCUAUCCAAAUUGAAGCCUUAAUCCUCUUUCUCCCUUUAUUGUUGUGUAAAUUCAGAUUUACGUGGAUGUAUUAUCAACUGUGGUGCCAGUUGCCAAUUGCUUUCUUAUUAUAACGUACCUUUUCUAUUUCUAGUUCUAUCUUCCAAGUUCUACCUAGUACCAAUUCCUAAGCCAUUUCUAUUAAUAUUCUUUAUUUUAGAUCAGAGAUGUUGUGUGCUGAAACUCAUCUCACUCCACACACCAACAAGGUGAGUGUAGGCUGCAACAACCUUUCAUUGACUUUCUUCAACCAAAUAAAAUGCCCACUAUUGACUUUCUUAUCUUUCUGGUGUGCUUCAAGUCACAUGCUGGAAGGAGGAUGCUUUCGUUGUCGGUAGCUAUUGAUCUAGAGGAGUUAUUACUGUUGCUGAUGGUGUCUCUGAGUAUGGUUUGAGAAUAUGAGAUUGAGAAAUAUUGGAGAGUAGUAUACCCAAUUAAUAUCUUGUUUAAUUAUGGCUGUUCUUGAAUUUUUUCUUGCUUAGUUGGACUGAAGAAAACAUGGAUCCUUCUUUGUUCUCUCGAUAGUUCUUGGCUAACGCUUCAGAUUUAGUGAAAAAUGAUGAUGAAGUUAUUGUUGGGAUUUAUGUCCUAAAACUCGUAAAUUGUAAAUAUAAUUCAUUGACCAUUAUUAAUAAAGUGUUAUUAUUGUAAUAAUUGUUAUUGAUUAAAUUAUUAGUUUUUGUCUUAAUAAUCCAAAUCCAAUAAACUAACAUCUUAAAUUAAACAGUCUUGAACAGUAUGUAGAGACAUACAGGGAUCGUAACACUAUUGAUACGACUCACUUUGUAUUUGAUACAAACGCAAUGAUCCAACGUGUUUGUGUAGUUGACAUGCGAGUGAGUGUAUCCUAUGCAAUGAGUUUGCAUAAGAUCGAACCGCGAAAUAGUAACCACUAUAUGUAACUCCGUUAAUUAGUUAGGUUUCUAUUUGACUAGGAUGACCUAAGUAACUUAGUCUUAAUUUUGAGUGUGUUAUGAACUCCUGUUUGCGAGGGAUUGUCCUUUGAAUUGUACGAGUGAGACUGACCAGAUCGCCGACUUAAUAAGCUUAUCAUUUUGGGGACAAGACCGAGCUGGGAGCUGAGAACAUAAUUACACACGAUGAAAUUCACUCAUUCCCUACUUUAGGGUAAGUAGAUAAGUAUUCCCUUAAAUUGUAUCUCCAGGUUUUGAACAGAGGGUCCUACCCUCUCUAUGGCACAAGAGAGGUUUUUGUUUAUUAGUAGGACCAUAAACAAGUUGUUCAUUGUAGGAGCACUGAUAUUUAAGGAUUAGAGGUAACCUAUGGGUAAAACGGUAAAUUGACCCAGUUGGUGUUACGAACACUCGUGAAGGACUAACUUACUGUUAUUGGUCUAUAUCCGUGAACACAUAAAUAUAUUUACAAUGAGAAGAGUUCAGCUGUGAGUCUUUAGUGGAGUGUACACACAGUUAACGAAUAUUGAUUAAUGAGGUUAAUGAGUUUAGCUAAUUAAUCUCAGAUCGUUGUAGCUUCUGAUCUAUAGGUCCAUUAGGUCCCCUUCCUAGUUCAUAAAAGGUAAUUAGAUUUAGUUAAAUUGGUUGUAAUUUGAAAUGUUCAAAUUUACUUAGGGAAUUAAUGAUGUAAAGUGAUACAUUAUAAUAUAAAGUUUGUGAAACUUUAUUAUAUAAAUUUAAUUUUGGAUAUGAUUCAAAAUUAAUUUAUGAGAGAUUAAAUAUUUGAAUAAGUUUAAAUAUUAAUUUAAUGUAAAUUGGAUUCAUAUCAAAAUUAAUGGUUACGAGAGAAACUUAUAUUUGAAUAUGAUUCGAAUUUAAUUUACCUUAAAUACACGAUAUUUAAUUUAGUUAUUAAUUAUUAUUAUUAUUAUAAUAAUAAUUAUUAUUAUUAUUAUUUGGUAGUGGUAGUGGUGGUGGUAGUAUAAUAAUAAUAAUAUAUGUUUGCAUUCUUUCUUCGACAUUUUACUUUGAAUUUAUUUUGACAAUACUACAAUGUUAUUUAGUAUUAGUUAAUUAGUUUGAUUUUUCUUUCUUCACGUUAUUAUUCUCUUUACAUUUUAUCCUUAAAAGAAAAACUCCAACGACGAAAUUUAGAAAUAUUUGGGAGUUCGUAAUUUCUAAAUUUUUUAGGUGAGGGGAUCGAUUCUUUGGGAGACCUUGAUCGAUCUCCAAUACUUAAAAAAAAAAAAAAACAAAAUCUUAUGUUAUUUGCUUAAUUUGUUGUGUGGCAUAUUUGAUUUUGUUUGUUUGUCAUUCCCUAUUUGACCUCUAUUUCAAAAUUUUCAAAGCUUUAAAAUAUUUUAACUUAAAUCACAAGUAAUUUUGAAGUCUUUUUUAAUUUAAAAAAAGUAAUUAUUUAGAAAUUUUUUGCUUUAGACUUAGAAUAUUGACAUGACAUUCCUCUCUAUAAGUUUGAAAUUCAAUUUUUCAUCCGCAAUUUAUGUCACAUAAUAAAUAAAAAUGAUUUAUAUCAAUUGAUUAUUUGGAUUAGUCCCGUAUCCUAGUAGAUAACUUAUUAGUAGUGAAUUAAAUGAACUCCAUAGAAUGGCUAGAGUUAGGGUUUGGUGUGGGAUGAAUUAAUUUUUUUAAAAGAAAAGAAAUUUGAAAAGAGGGCUUUGUCAUAGUGUAUUUAACCCAUCAUUUAUAAGGAUUUAUUGGUGUAAGUAAGUGUGGUGUUAUAUUGCUCUAUUUGGCCUUACACGAUAAUAAUAAACAAAAUAGUUGUUGUAUGAAUGUGGUGAUUUUUUGUUUCGUAAAGAAAAUGUAUGUUAGUUACAGUUGAGAUCAACUCAAUUUAAUUAAAUAAUUAUAUGAUUAAUGUAAUAUAGUUGCAAUAGUUGUUGUAAUAUUUAUAAUACUUGUAACAUUUUAUUUAUUAUUAUUUUAGUAGUCACACAAGUAAAAGUUAUUUACACUAAGGUGUUGCAAGUAAUUAAUUGAUUGAGACAAGAAGUAGAGUAUAGGCCAGUGAGAAUAUUUAUCUUCUUUCUUAUGUUACGUACUCUCAUAUCCCAAUAGUCCUACUCCCUUGGGUUCUAGCUUUCUCUGCCCAUUUCAGUCACCCAUAAAACUAAGAAUUGAACAAGAAGAAGCUAAGUUAAUUUAUACUUGUUUCUUGUUUCAAUUCUCACCUAAACUCACCCAACCAAGAUCGGUGAGCGACAGUAACAGAGAACAACAACGAAUUGGUAGUAAGGAUAGCUGCAAUCAAACAGGUUGCACAAUAAAGAGUGACGACUAAACAUUUGUUAGGGAAGAAGAUGAACCUUUUCUUUAUAUUUAUUUCUUCGAAGGCACAAAAUUUUAAACAUUUAUAACUAUUAUUAAUAACAACCAUAAUAAUAAUUUAUUUUUCUCUCACUAAAAGAUAUAAUAAACAAAGAAAUUUUUUCAAAAAUAGCAAACUUUACAAAAAAAUUUACAGCCUAGCAAAUUCUAUCACUAUAGUUAUUGAUAUAGUGUAAUGAUAGAAGAAUAUUAAUGAUAAAAUCUAAAAUUUUGUUAUUGUUUGUAAAUAUUUUAAUGUAUUUUACUAUUUUUAAAAAUGUUCCAUAAACAUUUAUGUUUAUUUAAACUCAUCUUCCCCUCCUAAUUAAAUCCAAAAUGUUUUCUAAUCCAAUCAAAUAAACUAUCUCUCCUCAUUAAUUAUCCUCUAUUCUUUUAAAGAGAAUUGUAAAAAAUAGCAAAUUUGACAAAAUAUUUACAACAUAUAACAAAAUUUAAUAUUUUAUCAAUAAUAGAUAUUGAUAGACAUCAAUCUGCUUCUAUUAGUAACAUUGAUAGACAAUGAUAAAAAUCUAUCGAUUUCUGUUAUUGAUAGAAUCCAAAAUUUUACUAUAACUUCUAAAUAUUUAUUUUUAUUUUGCUAUUUUUAAAAAUACUCAUUCUUUUGAUUAACUUUCCAUUUCGAAAUCUCAAAUCAACUUAAAAUUCUUUAAAAUUUUAAAUUAACGAAGAUCUUGUCCAAUAAAUUACUUAUUUUAAAAUUUUAUGAUUUCCAACCUAAUUAUUUUAACCCAAUAAUUCAAUUUUAGCUCCUAUAAUCAGAAUAAAUUGUAGCUAUUAGUGCUACAGAUGGUCUAAUGAGAGGAAUGAAAGUUGUUGACAUGAGAGCCUUUUUAAGUGUUCCAGUUGACGAAGCGUGUCCCGACCGAAUUUUGACUAAAUAAUUUAAGAUAAUUAAAAAAAAUUCUUAAAAUUUGGAAUAUUAAUUUCUUUCGCUCUAAGAAAUAUGAGUUUCAAUGACAAUGUCAUAAAUGGAAAAAAAAAACACAGUUUUGGCAGAAAAAUGUAGAAUGUUUCGGACUUGAAGAAUUUAUAUGAUAAUUUUUAAAGUUUAAUUUUUAUAAAUAUAAUAAACGAGCAAAAUAUCUAUCAUUGGUUUAACAAAAUGAAAAAGUCCAUUAAGUUGUCUAUUUUUUAAAAAUAUUUCACGUUUGUUUUUUCUUUUCAUCGUCUUUCUUCUUUUCUUCCUUUCUCCAAUUUUUUUCGUCUUUUUCUCUAGUUCUUUUUGUAAAUUUUUAAAACUUUUUUUGGGAUUGUUAUGCAAAAUUAUAAUGGGAAUUGAUAGCUAAUUUGGAAAUCAGGUUGGUUGGAAGUUUGAUGGACGGAAUCAAGUUCCAAGUGUGACUUAUUUUGAAGCUUUUGAUCAUCAUCUUGUUUGCCCCCUAACAUCAAAUACAGCCGCCCUAUGAUGACGAUACCUCUACCAACAAUGCUACACAAAUACAUAUUUACUAAUACAAAACUUUUUUUUAUAUAUCUAAUAAAUUUCUCCAACUUUUAAAAUUAUCUUUUUAAAAAAAGAUUGUUUCUAACAUAUUUGAUUAAGAAUUUAAAUCUUUAUUGAAAGGAGUCAAAGACUAUAAUAUGGAAUUUGAGAGAGAAAAAAGGAUAAGUUUCAAAACUAAAAGCAACAUAGACUAUAAUGAUAAGUAUUUCUUUUGUUCCUCUCUAUUAAUUAGUUGCCGUUAACUUUUAUUUAAUAUCGGGGUGUUGGUAAAAAAGCAUAGCAUUGAAGAUAUAAAAAAGAGGGAGAGGUGUGUGUCCAUAAAAGAAGAGUAGAAGUGAGUUAGGUUGGGUGAAUUAUGUUGAAUUAAACUCGUUUGGAGGCUGGGGCUUUUAAUUUGGAGAACUAUAAUUAACAACAAAUUAAAGAAGCAUUGAUCCAUCUUACACACAAUCAUACUCCCCAUAAAUUAAAUACACAAGAAUCACCAAUCUUUUCAUCUUCAUCUUCUUCUUCCAUGGUCUCCAAAUCCUCCUCUCUCACCACUCCCUUAUAAAUACACAAUCACCACUCUUUUCAUAUCAUCUUCUUCUUUCGUCUCCAACCCUUCUCAAUCUUAGAUAUGACUUCAUCAAUACUUUUCAUUGUUGCGUUUUUGUUCUUGAUGAAACCCUCAUGUUCCUCCCCCUAAUAGCAUUUUAAUUUUAGCCGGCCAAAGCAACAUGGGUGAUCCUGGUGGAGUUAAUUAUCCACUCUUCUGUGCCAACAUUUGUGUUUGGGAUAAACAUAUUCCUCCAGGAUCGAUACCCCAACCCUCCACUCUUCGAUUUGCUUUAAACUACACCUGGGAGCAAGGUCGGGAGCCCCUUCAUUGGGACAUUGACCCUACCAAGACCAACGGUGUCGGUCCAGGAAUGGCUUUUGCAGAUCAUCUCCUUGCAAAAGCUAGCGAAAAUGUUGGCACAGAAAAGUGGACAAUUAACUCUAGAAUGAUCGGAUAUAUUUUUGGCUCAAUCUGCUUAAAUUCCAAAUGGAGUUUCUUCAUUCUUCUUAGAAUGAUCAUAUAUAUUUAGGUUCUUUCUCUAGACUUUUGUUGUUUUAUUCCAUUUUUUUCAUCUUUAUUUACAUUGUUUUCUACAUCUUUAACUGGGUUAGCUAGAUUGUUCUCGUAUAAGUGAAUGGAUUAAAGGGACUGGUAGGUAUACAAGCUUGAUCCGACGGAUCAAUGCUUCUUUGGAGUCUGGUGGCCGCCUACAAGGGUUUGUAUGGUUUCAAGGAGAAUCUGAUGCUGCAUUAGAGGUAGAAUCACAAGUCUACCACCAAAAUUUGAUAAACUUUUUUAAGGAUCUUCGUGACGACCUGAACCAACCGACUUUGCCCAUCCUACUGGUUUGUGAUCUCUAUCUAUCUUUCAUUUUUUAUUUUAGUUACUUAAAAUUUUCACUUGUGGAUUUUUUUAAAUUUGUAGGUGAAGAUAGCUAACCACGAUCUCAACAUUAGCCCAUUUAUAAGUUAUGUAGAGGACGUAAGAAAGGCGGAAGAGGCAGUCGAUCAUGAGUUGCUUGACGUAACAACUGUGGAUGCUAAAAAAGCAGUCCAACAUGUUCUGAAUCUCGGCCAAGAACCUUAUAAUCACGAUGGACAUCUCAGUGUACACACUGAGGUAAAAAUAGGAAUAAUGCUGGCCAAGGCUUAUAUAAAAUUUAGUUUGAAGUAGUAGAUAAGCCUCAACAUUGUUGGAUCGAGCUCUUCACCUUGAACGAAAAUAUAACCCAUUAUGGUUUCUAGCUUGCUUCAAUUAACUCUGAGUUAUGUUUAUCCUAUUUCUUUGUAAUAUUUCUUCGUUGAUCAGUAUUAAUAAAUAUUAAUAUUCUCACUAGCCUCCACACUGUGCUUCUUUUUGUCUUUUGUCUCAAUCAAAUUAUUUCAUGUGUCUCCCAAAUGCCAACAACAAUAAAAGAUAGAAUGAAAUAUUCGCUGCAUUGUCAUUUGAACUCUCCACGCUGCACUAUUCCCUCCCCUUUUCAACUCCACGCCGCACAAUAAAGCUUCUUCUUGUUUGUUCUAUCUGAAGCUUCUGAACUUGUUGCACUUGUAGCUUCCAAACAUGCUGAAGAGAAUUUCAAGUCGUGAAUAAAAAUUCAUUUCUCUAUGAUAGAAUCAAAUAAAUAAAUUACAAAUGCAGCUAUCGUAACUUGAUCAUGCAAAUCAUUUAAUCAAAUUGAAUCCAUCUCAACCCUUAAUUAAGAUGCAUUCUCUUUUUUAAACCGUACUUGUGAAAGAUGUUAAUGUAAAUAAAGUAGGCUUAGUUAUUUUGGGUAAUGAUGUUAAUGUAAAUAAAGUAGGCUUAGUUUAUUUGGGUAAUUACCCUGGUAUAAAUACACUCCCUUUGGUCAAUAAAAAUAUUAAGAGAAUAUUCUUCAGAAUAUACUUUCACAUGGUAUCAGAGCUAGGGUUUUCAUCUUAGCCGCCGCCGCCGCCGCCGCCCACCCGUGAAAGUCUCCGUCUCCGUCAACCUCAUCGCGCCUCGCAGCCGUUCCGUCAUCGUCAUCCUCAUCGCGCCUCGCGUCUCGCAGACAGCUCCGAUCUGUCUCCAGCCCUUCCGCGCGCCUCGCAGACAGCUCCGAUCUGUCUCCAGCCAUUCCACCACAACAUCGGCGUCGCGCCGAUCAGUCGCAGCCUCGGCAUCGCAGGUGGCCGUUUCCGCUCCGAUUCGUCUCCAUCCGCGAGGCAGCCGUACGCGUCACCUUGCGGCCGCCACGUGAACCAGUAACCGUUCAGAUUUGCUGUCUGUUCGCGAUGGUUUCCAAACCGCACGCGACUUCUCUUCCAGCCGUGAGUGCAAGACGACGUCUACCGUCCGACGCCGCCCACCAGAUCUGACGAAUCCUUCAGUCGUUUGUCUUCAGAUCUGACGAAUCUUUCAGCCGUUUGUCUUCAAGUUUUUUUGUUUGUCUCCGUUCCCAGCCGUGCACCCCUGAAUCCAGUCGCCAAAUACAGUGAAACCCAGAUCUGACAAAUCCAGUCACGAAUCAGUCAAAACUCGGCCGAAAAUCCGCAUUGUUAACCCAAAUCAAAAUGGAGAGAGACCAUAUCUUUAGACCCAUUUCUACCAUACUUGAUGGUACAAAUUAUAUCACAUGGGCAAAUCAAAUGAAAAGUUUUCUUAUUGGAAGAAAACUAUGGCGCAUUGUAACUGGCGACAUCACCAAACCAACUGCAAAGGAAGGGGAUAACACAUUCAUUGAACGUCUCGAAGAUUGGGACAGUAAAAAUCAUCAAAUUAUCACCUGGCUUGAUAACACCUCUAUUCCCGCUAUACAUGCACAGUUUGAUACCUUUGAUGAUGCUAAAAUAUUAUGGGAUUUUUUGUCUACACGCUUCAAGUCUAUUGGUUUAGCCCAUUAUUACCAACUGCACAGUACACUUGUAAAUCUAAAUCAAGAUUCUGGUCAGUCUGUUAAUGAAUAUUUGGCAGUUCUUCAACCCAUUUGGACUCAACUUGACCAAGCGAACAUCAGCAAAGAUCAUCUUCGCCUUAUUAAAGUCCUUAUGGGAUUACGUCCAGAAUAUGAAUCUGUUAGAGCUGCUUUACUACACCGGAAUCCCUUACCCUCAUUAGAUGCAGCUAUUCAAGAAAUUCUGUUUGAAGAAAAGCGUCUUGGCAUCAACUCUACUAAACAAUCUAAUGUUGUCCUUGCUAGCACAUACACUCCCAACAGAGCCGCAAAUAUGUUUUGUAAGAAUUGUAAGCUCUCUGGUCACAAAUUUAGUAACUGUCCUAAAAUAGAGUGCAGGUACUGCCAUAAACAUGGCCACAUUCUGAAUAACUAAGCCUACUUUAUUUACAUUAAUAGUACUAAACCAAAAACCACUCCAAAAUUAAUUUCCAUUCCUACUUGGCUACUUCUAUGACUAGAGAUGUGAACAAAAACCUUGCUUUCCUUUUAUAUACAACAAUUAAUUAUUUAGUUCAUUAUUAUGUAAGGCUAAAGAGAGCAAAACCUCGAUACCAAAUUUACAAACACCAGUAAAUUCUUAUAAAUGAUAGUUUAAAUACAUUCCAACAAACCCCUUUUUUCGAAUUUCUUUUUUUUUAGAAUAAUUAAUUCUUCCCACGCCGAACCCUAACUCUACCUAUGCAAGUGAGGUUCCUCAAUUAACUACUAAUAAAUUAUUUAGGAAUGAUAUGAACUAUGAGAUACAAAUAAUCAAUUAUUCAGAUUAAAUAUUUUUUGUUUUACUAAAGUAUGACAAUCAAUUAUAGGUGGGAGAUUAAAAUUAAGACAUCUAAAGAUAGAAUUGGUGUCAAUUUAAUUGAUUCAAUUUAAUCAAGUUCACUUUAAUCAAUUAUAUAAAAAUUGUUGUAUUCAUUAUACUACUUUAAGUUUGUUGCUAUAUUUGAAAAUGAUUGUUAAAUAAAUCAUGAGAUACUUUAAGAUUUCUUUUUAAUUAUUUUCAUCUUUUAUUACAGUUUCGAAGAAGUGUUUAAACAAUGUGUUUCGUAACACAAAUGUUUCAUAAGUAUCAUGAUUCUACUAUAUGCUAAUUACGAAAUUGUUUUUCUUUCAAUAUAAUUGUUGAAUUAUGUAUUAUAUAUGUCAAAUCAUAAGUAUAAUGAUUCUACUCAUCUAUUGUCCACGCUGAAUGAGAUUGUGAGGGGUGCUGAAAGUAGCCUUAGUUCCUCAACUUUCUAUCUGGUUCUAUCUUGGUGAAUUUUGGUUGGAAGUGUGAUGGACGGAAUAUGACUUAUUUUGAAGCUUUUGAUCAUCAUCUUGUUUGCCCCAUAGCAGCAAAUACAACCCUAUGUUGACAAUAGCUCCACCAAAAAUGCUACACAAGUACAUAUUUACUAAUAAAAAACUUUUAUAUAUAUAUCUAAUAAUCUGAAAACUUAAAAAGAAUUCUUUUACAUCUUUUUCCCUUUUAUCUAAAAGUGAAUAUUUUAAAAUAUAUCAAUUUUAAAAAUCUAUUUUUCUUAAAAGAUUAAAAGCGAAUAUAUCAAAAUCUAUUAAUUUUUUUUGCUUCCAAUAUAAGUUUAUAUUGAAAUUGAGGAUGGAGUAGUUUGUGCUAUAUUUAAGUAUUAUUUUGUUUUGGACAAUAACAAUAGAAAUUGGGUCUUCAAACAUAUACCAUUGUUAUAACUUUUAAAAUUAUAUAAGUUUUAGGAUACAAUUUGUACAUUUAUAUAAGUUUGAGAAUACAAUUUUUACCAUUAAUAGUUUAAAAUAUAUUUGCAACUAUCCAAAUAUGGGGUGAUUAUAUUUGCCCUUUCUACUUUUCAAUACUUUCGACCUGGAAAUCUAUAGAUUGUAUUGAACAAUCUUGACAAUCUAUAGAAAAGGUUGCAACUCACAGCCAUACACCAUUGAAUUAAAACAACCUUAUGUCAUUCCCAACAAAACCUCACAAAAUACUAAAAAAAGAGCCCAAAAACAUGCUAUGUCUUUGCAUAUAAAAUUAAUAAGAGACCAAAGCAAAGAAGGUAAAUUAAGGCAAAGGGUGAAGCAAAUUAAACAAACAAACAUUUUCUAGCAGAGAAAAAAAAAAUGACGGAUUCAAUUCUUAGUCCAAAAGCCACAACUUCUCCCAACAACAUUUUCAUACUCGCCGGGCAGAGCAACAUGGCUGGUCGAGGAGGGGUUUCACUAGAUCCAACCACAGAUAAAAUGGUAUGGGAUGGAUAUAUACCGCUUGAAUGCGAAUCCAACGACUCAAUAUUUCGAUUGAAUGCUGAUAUGGUAUGGGAACAAGCCCAUGAACCACUCCAUUGGGACAUUGAUGUUGUAAAGACCAAUGGGAUUGGACCCGGCAUGGCCUUUGCCAAUGAGCUUUUGGCUAUAGGUGGGAAGAGGAUUGGUGCCAUUGGCCUUGUUCCAUGUGCCAUUGGAGGAUCCCAUUUGAAAGAAUGGGUUAAAGGGACUAAUAGGUAUGAUAAUUUGGUUGAAAGGAUUAGGGCUUCAGAAAAAAAUGGAGGGACAGUUCAAGGAAUUUUGUGGUAUCAAGGAGAGUCUGAUGCUGCUGUUGAAGAAGAAGCUAUGUGUUAUGAAAGAGAGCUCACUAAGUUCUUCAUCGACUUGCGUGCUGACACGAACCAUCCUGAACUACCCAUCAUCUUGGUUUGUUAUUGUUUUUCUUUAACUAAUAUUGAUUAAAUAUAGUCAUGAUUACACAUCAUUUGCUAUAUAGAUUUUAGGAAAAUAACAAUUCCAUUAUUUUAAGAAAACUAAAAUUGUUUUACAUGAUUUGAUAAAUUUUAAGAGUGCAACAACAUAGGUGGAUUACACAAGGGUGGAACCAUGUUGUACUUUUCUAUUUUUAAUGUUUAAAAACAAUAUCUUUAGAAAACAAAAUGCAAUUUUGAUAGAUGGAGAUUGAGUUUACAAUAACAUUCUUGUAAUGAGUUUUAAAAAUAUUACUUGAGGUUUGAACCGAUAAUUUGAUCAUUCAAUUUUUACUAGCUAAAGAAUUGAAAAGUUUUUAUAGCAUUAAAAAUUAUGCUAUGAAAAAUUGUCUUCCUAUAAGGUUGAGAUAUAUAUAUAUAAAAUAAAAAGUUAUUUUUAAUAAAAGAAUAAAAAAUGAAAGACAUGAGUCGAAAUUUAGCCAAACCAAAACUUAAGUGAUUACGAUAUUAAAUUUGAAAACUUCGAUUAUAAAAUGCUACUAAAUUUAAACUUGAUAUAUAUUUUUGCGAUAUCUUAUAUUGAUUUGAAUGCUAAAAAAAUUGGAUACAGGUGAAGCUAGUAACUCAUGAUUUUUUCUUAAGUCCAAAUAUAAGCUUCAAGGAAGAAGUAUGUAAUGCUUUGGAGGCAGUCACACACAGACUACCAAACGUAACAAUGGUGGACGGUCCCAUGGCAGUGGGCAACUUUGACGAUGGGCUGAAUGAAGAUAAAGGUCAUCUCAAUGUUAAAUCUGAAGUCAAAUUAGGCAAAAUGUUUGCUCAUUCCUUUUAUUCAAACUUUGCCCACAACUUCCUUUCCUAAUUAAUUAUGUACCAAUGAAAUGCUCACACUAAUUCAAUCAAUUCAUAAUGCUACUCUAAAACAAUAUCUCUUUUAAUCAUUGUAUUUGGUGGAGUGAAUUUAUUUCAUCCUUCCAACAGAAAUGAUGUGGAUGCGGAUGUAUAUCUGACUCGACUUAAAGGUGAAAGUUUGAUUUUUCAUUUAUGUAAUCAUAAAAAGUUAAUUUUAAUAUUAAAAUUUUAUAUUCUUAUAUUUGUAGCAUGCAGUGAAAUUUAAUCUAUACCAACAUAUACCAAUAUGAUAUAAAUGGAUAUAUGUUGUAGUUAAGUUAGCAAUUGGGGUUUUUUCAACAUUUUUAUGGCUUAGUGUAUAGUUUUGUUGGUUGAAACUGGUAUGUGCAAGUUUAUAUUGGUUAUCUAUAUUUUAGAAAAUUGAAAGUUUAGUGCAAUGCCUGGAUACACACCUAAAUUAAAUUUGUAAAGACCAAUUAAUAUUUCAAAGUUUGACCUAUAUUAUUUGAUACACAAUUAAAAUUUCUAGAACUUAUUUAGCACAUUUCAUUUUACUAAAUGAAUUUUAUAAUUCAAAAAAAAAAAAAAAAAUCAAAUGUGAAAAAUCACAAUAACUAGAGUAAUAUUUGGUUUUUAUAAUAAUUUUGGAAUAAAGUUAACAACGGGAGUUGAGUCAAUAAAAUAUUGAUAAAUGGGCAAGCAACAAUGCCUAGAGAUGAAAUAAGCUUGGAGAGAAUGAUUGACUUGAUCCAAGAUGAAGUUACCAUUGAUCCCACCCUCUACUAAAAUCUAGACCUAAUCUACCAUAUCAUGUAACUCAUUCAUGAUUCGACUCAACAAAAAUUUAGAAGAGAUCUUUAACUCGGCCCAAAGCCAAAUUAAUCCACUCCACUUCGAUGAGUCCACCAAAUCUUGUUCUCAUGUGAUUAUAAUCCAACAACAAAAAAAAAAAAAGGAUGGAUGUGUGAACAUCAAUAAAAUCUAACUGGAGAAAAUAUAGGUGAUCCAACCUUGUAAAAAUGCAAGUAAAAUGACUUAAGAGAUAAGUUGAGUCCACGGGAGAUCGAUAACAAAAUUUAUCUUUAGACUUUCUAAUUGAAACAUCAAAGUGUACGUGUAAGUUAGUUGGUUGUUUGUAUAUAUUGUUAUUCACAUAUCCACCUUAUGCAUGUAUGUUAGGUACAAUUAGCAUAAUCACAUGUGGAAAAAAACCAUAUUAUUUUGAAAAAGAAUCCAUCACAUGUUAAAAUGUGAUGAUGUGAUUAGAGGAGAGAAUUGAAAAAGUUGAGAGUGGAAAAACAAAUAAUAUUAAUUGUUAUUCUUAAAAGAAACAAUAUUAAUAUUUAUCUAAAAAGAAAAGAAACAGCAAUCAUUAUUACUUUCUAGGAUUACAGCUAAAAUGAAAGAGGGAGUUGGAAUUAAAAAAAUUGAUAUCGUAAUUAAAAGGAAAGGGAAGGGUAUUUACGUAAAUUGAAUAAACAUUCUCCUUUUCACACCUCAGGCCUUUCCGGACCCUAUCCAUUUCCAUUAUGGAAGCCUUUAAAUAUUAAAUUCCAAAAAUAGAAAUAUUUUAUUAAAAAAACUUCAUCUGAAAUUCGUUAAUUUGGUUUCGCCCUUAAAUUUCAAACCUUAAUGACCACAUUACCCUCUAUCUUCACCCCAAAUACCCAACCACUCCAUCUUCUUCCUCAAGAUUCUAUCAACAGUCAAAGAUCCUCUCUACUGAUCAAUAAAUAUUCCUAAUCUCAUUUCUCUACUUCCUUUCUCCUCCAAUUUUCCCUCUCUCGCUCUCUUUCCCAUGGCCUUCCCUCGUCUUCCUUGAUUCCAUGGCGGAUAUGGAUUUUGUUGAAGGCGUUGGUGAGAGUUCUUCGCCGCCUCGAAGCUUUGCUGCUGGAUUCUGUCCUGCCCACGAUGUUCGGAACGAUGUUUAUACUAGGUUGGUUGAGUGUGGACAUGAGGAGGCUGUUUCUAAUCCUCAAUUUCGCGAGAACUUGGAUGCUCACUUCAAUCGUUUGCCUCCGAGGUAGUUUAUUCUGCUUUUCUUUUAUUGUAAUUUGGAUUUUGGGCUUUUUCAUUCUUUUCUUUUUUUUUUUUUUGCUACUUUUCUAUUGUGCUUUUGUGUUUCAUUUUGAGCUGGUGUAAUCGAGUGAGGGUAUAUGCAUUUUGCAUCCUUGCUUUAUUUGAUUUUCGAUCUUUUUCCUGGGAUUUUGUAGUGGGUAGUGUUUGUCUAACUGUAUUAGGAAGCUGAUUUUGGUGGAUUACUUUUAUGGGGAAUUUUCCUUUCUAUUACUUGUCUGUCAUAAUCCUAUUGCUUCUGCUUAAUCUAUAUGUUGUUUUCUAAUGUUGGGAAAGUUCAUUUGGUAACGGGUUCCUUUUCAUUUUUCUGUUUUUGAAAUUUAGUUGGGUCUCUGUAUGUUUAAUCUUUUGUUUGUUUGUUUUUCUGUUUUUUUUUUUUUAAAUAGAAAAUACUUUUUGAGUAUUGGUCAUCACGUUUUGAGAACGAAGAACAUAUUCUUUUUUAUUUUCUAUUUUUUAGUUUUAAAAUUUAGGUCAAAUUUGAAAAUUGUGUUCAGAAAGGAAAUGACUUAAUUUCUUUUUUAAGAAAUCAUUGUUAGACAGCAUUUGUUAAUUUUGGAUUGACUAAACUUGUUGGGAGUAAGGUUGAACUUACCAGUUUAACAACUCACUGUUUAAAUACUACCUACUUAUAGCAAAUAUUCAAAUAAAAAAAGAAUACUACCAGCUUAGAAGGAACGAACAAUGGCGUAGUGAUAUGUUUGGAAGCAAGAGUUUAUGCAUGAUUUGAUUAAAGGCUGAUAAUUGAUAUGGCUAGUGGGAAACAAUAUUCUCAAAACAUGCUUCAACUGCUGGCUGUAGAAUAGAAUAUUAUUGAAAAUGAAUUACAAAUCUAUUGAUAUUCAAGUUAACAAAAUCUUCUUAUCUUACAUGAAUGCUAUGAAGUGGGAGAUGCUAAAAGUUGAACUGCAGAAUUUAGAAUUUAGAACUAUGUAAAAUGGGUUCAUAUCAACAUAACUUUAGUGCAAUGAUGUAUGAGUUUCUCCUCAUUCCGCCUCAUGGGGAGAAGGGCUACUUUUUAUGGUUAGCUGGCGUGUGUGUGAUCUUGUGGGUUUUGUGGGUGAGCAGAGUAGUAGGAUUUUUAGAGGGGUGGAUAAGGACCUAGUGAGUUUUGGUCCCUUGUCCGCUUUAAUGUUUCUUUGUGGAUUUUGGUUUUGAAUAUCUUUUGUAACUCUUCUAUAGGAGUUAUUUUGGAUAGUUGAAGUCCCUUCUUGGAGGGAUAGAUGCCUUUUUGUGGGUUGAGUUUCUUGUAUGCCCAGUGCAUUCUUUCAGUUUUUUCCAAUGGAAGUUAUUGUUUUUAUAAAAAAACGUUUAAUCUAUAUUUAUCUGAACCAACGAGUAUCAAUCAGGAUUCUUAUACAUAAUCUUCUCAAUAGUUCUCAAAUGGAGUUGCAUGCUUGAGUGGUUUUGUUUUCAUAAAUGGUGAGAUAGCGUUCUUCCUUCCUACCUAUUCAGUGGUCACGGAGAGACAUUUGAUUUUAAAUGGUGUCACUUCUUGACUUGAAAAGGAAGUACUUAGGCUUAUCCUAACACCUAGAUAGACAAACAUACGGAAGCUACUUAACUACUAGGCUUAGAAAAAAGCUCACUCUAUGAGCAAGGAACAACCUAAAGGAAUCUUUGUAAGGAUCACUGAACUCUUGCUUGGGCCAUGAAAGAACGUUAGGUAAAGAGGUGCUGCCAUCUGCUUGAUCGUCCUAUUCAUCCAACGGAUUUUGUUCUAUUGCUGUUAUUAAAAAAAAAUCUAUGAUAACUAAAGGUCAAAUACUUUUCAGAUUGAUGUUACAGCUUUUCUUUAGAAAGUGAUGCACGUCUGUGUAAAGUAUCUUAUCAAGUAUUUGAUUGGAGACAUAGGGAACAGAUUAAGGAAAAAUAAAAAGUUGAUGGUCAGCUUCUUUGCUAUCAUAUCCCUGGUUAAAUACCUGCAAACUUUUUUGUAGUACUUGUGGCUUAAAAGGAAUGAUAGAAUCACUGUACAUAAGUAUCAGGACUUGGUCGUAUUGUAGAAUUAAGUCAGUUUCAUUGUGUCAUCUCAGGUUUUUUUGGAUAAGAAAUCUACUAAUCUUUUUUUUUUCUGUCGAGAAAAAAAAAGGAAAUCUACUAACUUUAUCAAUGACCACUUGAAGUUCUUUUUUUUUCUUGUAGUUAUGUAGUUUUAAAUUUUAAUCAUGUAACUUGGGUUUGGUUGUUGCCUUUACCUUUACCUUUACCUUUACCUUUACCUCCUAUUUGGUGUAUCUAUUUUAGAUUGUGUUUUUAAUAGGAAAAUAAAAGAUGGAUUUCUUAAUGGUGGGUGAGUGUCUAAGUAGUAUAGCAUGUUAAACUCACAUAGCUAGACUAUAUCAUCAGCUAGGGAUGGUCUACUCAUUCUUCUUGAUUUAUUAACUUUUUGGUUCUUGAUAAUUAUUCUGUCAGUUACGGACUUGAUGUUAACAUGGAGAAGGUGGAAGAUGUUUUGUUACAUCAAAAGCUUCUUUCCCUAGCAAAGGAUCCAGAGAAGUGCCCUGUUUACCACAUUCGUUUUCUUGAGGUAUUUUUUGUAUUUCAUUUGUACAAUUUUUAGAGGUAACUAAUGGGCAAUGUUGCUUGGUUCUAAACAUUCUUAUAGUUUUUUGCUUAGAGUGUGAUUAUGCCAAACUUAUGGUGGAAAACAUAUAACCUGAGGCAAAAAUUAGAAAAAUGGCUUGCUGAAAGAGAGAGAUAUUAUCAGUUUCCUAUUGAUGACUAGUUAGAGAGGGGUGACAAUUUGGAAUUACUGUAUAUGAGGUCAUAACCAUCAGUGCUGAAGGUAGAACUUCCUAAUAUCAGAGGGAAAAAACUGAGGACGGCGCAUUGCUACAAACUGCAUCAAAUUGCCAUGGGUGGCACCUGGAGGGUAGGAAUGAUAUUCUGCUUGUUAAAUAUAGUCCUCCCCAGCCCCUGAAUCUUUUCGAAUGGCCGAUAAAAAAUGAAUUUAGAAUGUGUUUGUAUGGAUUUAUAGCAAUAUGGUUGCACAAAAGAAAGUCAGAUGGUAUACUAAAGCAAUCGAGACAAUAUAUUAUUUGACAAUAGUUUAUAUAAUUUCCUGUUAUUGAUUGUUAUAAGCAGCUUUAUUAAUUAGUGCUUGCAUUAAUGUACUUAAUAAUUUUUUCUCUUUCAAUGGCUUUUUGCCUUUGUUCUUUUUCCUCAUGUGGUAAAAUAGAUCUAACAAUAAUUUUUGCCCAAGGACAAUGAAAAUAAUUUUUUGGGAUCUUGAAAUCUUUGCAUUAGAAAAAUAGCAGCUGUUUGCAUCUUCUUGGGGUUCUCUUUCUCCUUUCAUCUUGAAGAUUUGGGUGUUCAAGAUUUUAGAUUUGAGUGGGAUCUUUGAGAGAGCAAUUAAGUUCUGCUUCGGCUUCAGCUUUCUGCUGCCGUAAUGUCUUUGAGUGGCUUUGUUGAGAUCGUUAUUUUUCUUUUUAUGUUCGUUUUUAGGUUGCCUUCAUAUUUAUGUUGUCUGAGUAUAGUCUUUGUUUUAGUUUUCGUCUUUAUUUUCCCUUAGUUUCUUUUGCUAUUAGUAUAAUACUCUUGUACUUUGAGGUUUAGUCUCAUUUAUUAUCUUUAACAAGGAGGCUUGUUUCUGUUAAAAAAAAAAGUAAUCUUUGUAUUAUGUUAUGCCAUUUGACUUGGGAGGAGCUAGAGAAUUUUUGAAAAUAGAAAUGAGGAUGUUGAGGAUAGUUGUGAUUUUAAUAGUUUGUGGUUUGAAAUAUUGAUAGGAAGUUUUUGUAUUUUGCUUCUUCAUAUGUCUCGUUGUAGUUAGAUACACAAUUGUUGUGCAACAUUUCGUAAUGAUUGCUUAUAACUCUGUAAGUCUAUGACUUCUCUCUUAUCAGAAGAUUAUUCAAUUGUAUUAAAUAGAGUUCUAUGUUGUUUGUAUAAACUUUGUUUUAGUGGCGGAGGUUUUAUUGCUCUACAUUUUUCUUGUUGAUUUUGUAGCACAUAAGUACUAAGUCAGAUGGCAAUGAUGAUCACGUUUUUCUUGAUAGUAUUCUUUUAAGUGGUUCAUCUAAUGAAGCAGCCGAUAGAAGGCUUCCAUUGUCACACAAAAGGUAAUUAUUGGGCCUAUUGCAUUUUCAUUAUUAGCCUAACCCCUUAGGUUUCUUUCUGCACAUAGUUGAUUUGUGGUAAUUGAUUUCUUAAUCAUUGGGUUGUAGAACUCGAGGAAAUAUAAUUGACUUUGAGGCUUGUUCCAAGCUUGAGGGCUUAAAUUUGGAUGUUAGAAAAAACUCGAAGCCCAUGGAUAGGAGGUACGAUUUGGAGAUUUUUUUCGAAAGCUAUGAUUAACACAUGUAUUUGCAUUGACUAUUUUUGUGGACGGGGAUGUAUUAUUUGGAAUUUUUUUUCGAAAGUUAUGAUUAACACGUGUAUUUGCAUAGACUAUUUUUGUGGCUUUACAAAUUAUUGUAGUUCCCGUCAGGGUUCAAAUUUUUGACAUGUUGGCUGGCUAUAACUAGGUACUAAGAUGUUUUCUAAAAGUACAAUGCAGGCCUGGUAAUAUUGGACAUGUUCUGAUACACGAAGUGAUAUUUUCAACGGUUGACAAGCCAAAGCUUCUUAGCCAGGUAGGCUGGAAUGGUUAUUUUUUUUUAUAUUUGAUAGUAUCUACAUGAAUGUCUUGGGAAGGCAAAAGUUGCCAAAACGUUCAUAGUCUAGCAUGCUCAUUGAAGUCUUGUUCUUAUGCUUCUAUCUAAUGGAACUUAUGUAUACAAAGGCCAGCAUUCUAUUGUAUGUUUAGCAUUCUCACUAGUUUAUGGUAAUCAACAAUUCUUAGAAGAUGGCUUUAAAGGAACAACAGAACGUUUAAUGAGGGCAGAAACUUUUGGAUUGUUUGAUAGUAUUUUUUUUUCUUUUUUUAUCAGUUUUAGUCGCUGCAUUAAUUUGAUGUAUUAUUCUCUCUUUUGAGCAAGUAGAGUCUAAUUGAUCUUUUGGCAAAUUGAAUACAUCAUUUUUAUUUCAGUAAGAAACCUUUUUAUUUAAAGAAUGAAAUACACCAGUUGAAGUCCUUUGUUCAACUGAAGGGGUUAGAUAAUGAAAUAUAUAUAUUGAAAAAGCAAUAUAAUAUAAGAAGGGGAAUACCAUUUGUAUAUAUGUAUAGACAGGAAGGGGAGUAGUUAUAAAAAUCCGUUGAUCCUAGGAAAAGAAGUAACAAAAAGAUAAUAGUGACCUAAAUUUCAUGGGACCCUUUCUUACUGUGCUGAAAGAUUUCUAUUCCUGUAUAAUUAAAAAUUCUCAUAAAAGUGCCCCUUACAGCAGUUAACCACAGACAAGGAGUUAUUCUAACAAACAUAGAAAACAUCAGUAAAUGCAUUGAAUUGAUCUUGAAAAUUAACUGUACACAAACUGAGAGCUAGAAGUUUGUAUCAGGGAUAAGACAGUUAAUGAACAACCUAUCGUGGGGCAAUUAAUACUCAUACUAGGUGUUGAGAAUAAUUGAUCAUCUUUCCUUUUCAUUUGCUCAUGUCAGUUGGUCAUUAUUAUGAAAGUAUCAGUAUGGGAGAAUUCACACUGGCUUUUUGUUUGUGUAGAUUAGAGAUAUUUCAUUGAUAAAAAAAUUCACACUGGCUUUUCUAACGACUUAUCAGUUUUUUUCCUAGCUUUCUGCUUUGCUUUCUGAUAUAGGACUUAACAUUCGAGAAGCACAUGUAUUUUCAACAACUGAUGGUUACUCCUUGGAUGUAUUUGUGGUGGAUGGAUGGCCUAUUGAGGUACUGUAUUGUGAUAUAUGCUAAAUAUAUAUUUUGCUGUUUCUACUGCUGUGCUGCCCUGUUUUUCAUAUUUUCUGUUCUUGUUAGAUUAGUUAUUAAUUUUUUUAGGUUUAGGGCCUACCAUUGAACUGGUAUUAUAUACAAUUAUCUUAUGAAAUGAUUGGAAGAUCUAAAAUAUCUUUGCCAUUUGGCUCAAAAUUUCCCUCUUCGUUUGCUUAUUGCAUGUUCCUAACUUCAUGUUAUGUCACUCUCUGUUCAUAACAAUAAAGGUAGUUUGAUGAACUGUAAAUUUACUCUGAAUUCUCUCUAUUAUUUAGUUGGCCUUUCAAGUUGCAUAUGUAUGCAGCAUCCACCCCAAAAGUAAUCCACAUUUGAAUGUUGGGAUUGGAGUGCUACUGCUUGCUCAACUGGUUCUCUUGUCUUCCAACCUGUCUAUUUUAAAUCAAGACAUAGAAACCUGUACGAGAUUUUUCGUUAUGACGUUUAGCAAAGAUUCUUCACAUUUUGCAUCUGUAUCUAAGGAUUUUAAAUGGAAAAUUGUAUCAGUUGGGUUACUUAUAAGAAAUUAUGUAUUAUCCCAGGUCAGCAACCUUCUAAUAUUAUAAGGAGGGAUCUGUAUUAUGUAUCUUUUGUAUCAGGAUUGUGUUAAGUCUAUAUGUUGCUGAUUUUGCAAUCUGGUGACCAGGAAACUGAUGGCUUGUACGAAGCUAUGGAAAAAGCAGUGGCUAGAUAUGAGGUAAAUUGCGUUUUUUUUGACACGAUUCUUUAUGAAAGAUAUUGAAUGAAAUGUCAUUACCUAAUUUAUAAUUCCCAGAUAAUUUUGCAGCAUUUACUAAUUGUUAUUAUUUUUGUUUUCUUUGUCAUAAACAAAUUUGAGUCCUUUGUUUUCAAUUGUCUAUGGUUGAAGACGUUUUAAAUUCUCAUGUUCACCCCCUUCUCCCUUUGCAAAGUGAUAGAAUAUGAAGGAAACAAUGCAACUUCUUUCAUGGAAUGCAGGGAUCGUGGUCUGGGUCUUCACAUUCUCAUCCAGUGGUCAAGAAGACAUUAGACGCCCAGGUAAAAUCAGCAGAUUGGGAAAUAGAUAGACGGUUACUGAAGAUAGGUGAAAGAAUUGCAUCAGGAUCUUGUGGUGAUUUGUAAGUUUCAACUGAAAGUACACUUUUCUUUGACCAUGUCUUGAACGGUAUAGCAUCUGGAUCUUAUUAGGAAGCUUACAGAUAUAGCAUCUGAACUUGUUACAUUAGCUUCUCGUUGAUAUAUUCUGAGUUGAAGUUUCAUAUUGUCCCCAACCGAGCAAUAAAAUCAAGUGACCUUUGCCAUUCAUAGCAAUGUCGUUCACAAUAUGAUAUGUUUGAUCGCUCGUUAUUUAUUUGUUCUCUGAAUACUACAGUCCCUUCUUUAAUAUUGCAACUAUGCAUGUUACCAUGUGAUUCAUUUUUCUUUCUCAUCCCCAGGUACCAUGGAUUUUAUCUUGGUCAAGAUGUAGCUGUCAAGAUAUUAAGGUCUGAAGAUCUAAAUGCUGAUUUAGAGGAUGAGUUCAAUCAAGAAGUGACUAUUCUCAGGUAAUUUUGAUAUGUGAUAAAAUUACUUCUUCAUAAAACAAUUAUAUUUGAGUUUGGGGUAUGAAAGCAGGGAACACUGUUUCCUAUCAUCGUUAAAAAAAAAAAAAGAAAAAAUAACCCAUAGGGAUUAGGGGGUGGAAAAUGUAAAAUAUUGAUAUUUAUCUUUCCAUUAUCAUACUGUAAGUUAAGGAAUCCACUGAUCAUUUUUCCGGAGGAUGCCGUGUACAGACGACAAUCAUUUUUAUUGUUUAUUUAUGGCUAAGUUUUUCUCACAAACUUCUACCUCUUGAUAGUUUAUUUAAUGUAAUCAUGCAGAACACCUGCACAGUUUCAGCUUGAAAAUGUACUUGCUAAGAAUUGCACAUUUUUAACUGUGAUCUUGCGGGUAGAUCAUAUGAAAUAUCUUUCUUUUUCUUUUGAUUCUAUAGGAGAUUGUGUUUGGAUACUUUACAUAUAGGGGACCUUCAAUUGAGAAGGAGUUCUGGAAAUUAGUCCAUGUUCAAUUCAUUAAUAAAAAAUGAACCUACACGCCUGAAAGUGAAAGUACAAAUAUUAUGCUUACCAAUUUCCUUGAUCCAAACAUCGUCAUAGAUUAAAAUACAUUCUUACCAAAAGGAUCUUCUGGCAAACAACGGUGUUUAGUAGCUGCAGAUUCGAAAUCUUCAAUUUCCUGGAACUGUUUCGAUACUUCACAUUUUCCCCACUCCAUCGAUAAUGAUUUUCUUUUAUUUCCACAUUUGUGAAGGAAUAAUUUCCAGAGUUUAUGUUUUAUAAUCAAUUUGUUAUAGGUGUAUCUACCGCCAUACAUCCUUUGUGAAGGGAUCUUAAUUAAUCUGAAAUGCAGGAAGGUCCAGCACAAAAAUAUAGUUCGUUUUGUAGGUGCUUGUACAAGCUCCCCACAUUUGUGUAUUGUAACAGGUACAUAAAUCUCUACUUUCAUCUUUAAUUUUGUCUCCUUUUCCUUCAUCAGUUCUUGGUUAGUUUCUUGUAGGAUCUUCUUCUGUAGUUUACAUAUAUAUCCUGAUAGAUGUUUGCUUGGUUCGAACAAGAGUUGUGUGCAGAAUAACACAAUUCCGCAUCAAUAAAAGAUUGACAGUCAAGUGAAGCUCUUUUAACUUUAUGUUCUAGUGUAAGGUUUUGAUGGAGGUCAACUUUGUUACCAGAAAUAGUUACGUUCCUGAGACUUAGUUGGCUGUUGUCUGACCUUUUCCGGACAUUAUUUUUCGUCAAUAGAUACAAAUACUAACUCUUCCUCAUGCAUGACGUAAUGUGAAUUUUCAUGACUUUUUUCUUAAAAGAAAAAAGAAAUUUGUUUUACCACAAAUUGUUGGUUUCGGAUAAGAUAAUAAGUCUUUUAAAAUUUGUUUUAGGAUGAAGAUAAGCCUGUAGAUAACAUGUUUCAGAGGGAUUGAAAGGGAUCUGGUUGAUGUUUGGUCCCUUGUGAAUUUUAAUUUAUAAUGUUUCUCUGGGUUUUGGUGUUGACUGACGAGCCCCUUUAUUCUAUAGUUCACAUUCAGUUAGAUUGGCGGCUGUUUCUUUAGGGUGCUCCCCUUUUGUGGGCUUUGUUGUUUUUGUAUGUCCUUAUAUUUUUCAUUUUUCUUUUCAAUAAAAGUUAGUUUUUUUUGUAUAAAAAAAUGUUUUUGUUGAUAAAUGAAACAUACAAAAGGGCAAAACCCAAAAAGCUAAACAAGUUAAAUAGAAGGUAUCUUGUAGGAAUGAUUAUGGUAAGGGUGGGUAGUUACGAAAAUAUAAAGAUAAAGACUGCGAUAAAGACAUGAAGGUAAUGAGUUUCUCUUUAGAUUUGAGUUAUUUAGUAUGGGCUAUUAUGUGGGAUAGCCAGAGUUCGUAGUGUUUCUAGAUAUAAAUAACAAGCGAAGGUGGUGAGGUUGAUAUAGGAUUUCCCCCCCUCUUUUCUGGUGAAAAUGUUACUGACCCGAUUUUUGGAAUACAAGAUAAAAUAAAAUAAAUUAAUCCCCCCCACACCAUAAAGUAAUUCAUAAUCAAUUGAAUUAGUUUCCCAAAACUAAUUAGAUUAAUUUAUAGGGAUCCACUUCCCAACUAAUUGAAUUACAGAAACAAAGAAAAUACUCAAUGACUAUGAUGAAAGAUCACUAAUCUGUUUAGCAAACUGAGUUUGGCGUAGAUCGAUCAAAAGUAGUGUGUGGAGUAGGAGUCACAAUUUUGGAGUAAUUUUUUAUUUUUAUUUUUUAAAUUUAAACCAAGUGACAUUGAAUUUUUUUUUUUUUAUUCAGGGCAAAGUUUGGGGGUAGUUUCUAGCAAUAAUGCAAACUUAUCGAAGCUUUAUUGCAUUUCUAUAUCUCCAUCUGCAUUUAUACCAGAAAUGCCUUAUUUGAUAUGCAUUUUGGAUUAGAAUUUGGUCAUUAAAUUCACUUUCUUCUGUAGUCCUGUUUUUUGGAUUUAUGUUCCAUCUAUAUUGUUCAAGUACAAAAUUUAAGUUUAGUUGUUUCUUGCAGAGUAUAUGCCAGGAGGGAGUCUUUAUGAUUACUUGCACAAGAAUCAUUGCGUGCUGAAGCUCUUGCAACUGCUGAAGUUUUCUAUUGAUGUUUGUGAAGGAAUGGAGUACUUACAUUUAAAUAACAUUAUUCAUAGGGACUUGAAGACAGCAAAUCUGCUAAUGGACACUCAACAGGUAAGAUUGGAACAUUAUAUUACUGGAAUCAGCUGGUGAAGUGUAGUAGUGUAGGUAUCUUAAACGAUUAUUUUUACAUCAAACUACUUUUAUAUGAAUUAGGUUUUGGAAGAUAACAGAAAAUAUAUUGGAAAGUUGUUUUGGGGUUGGAAGGAGUCAUUCCAUACCUUAGAUAAAGGGAAAAAGAAAUAAAAUUAACCAUACUGAAAUAGCUAUGCAAACGAGAUAUAACACUAAACUCUAAUGUGAUCAUUUAGCCCAUGGGAUGUACCAAUUCACUCUACUAUCAACAAUUAAUAGUCACUGUUGCCCUGUGCUGACUGAAGAAGUCAAUAUAUUAAUUUGGUGUGAUGUUGUUCUCUAUGAAAUAUAUGUGAAGCUGUCUUCAUAUCUACCUGUUUCUUUGGAGUGUGAACUGGCCAAGUUAUAUGAUGAAAAAAAUAUUGAGCAGUUAGUCCCUAGUAAAGUUCACAGUACAAAAGAGAUGAUAGGAUUUCUAGUCAGGUAUAGCUCUCGUGGUCAUGCUCCUGUUCUUUUGAAUUGGUGUUUUGUACCUAAUUAGAUACAUAACAUGUGUGAUGGACUUUUUUAGUAGUGGAUCCUCUGGCUGUUCUGAUAAUUUCUUUCACUAUUACAGUGGUUGAAUACACUUGUUACUUCAAAAUAGUCAAUGUUGGAUUUUUGAAGUAGGAUUUGUAUGUGUUUUCUGAGUUCAUUUAUUCUCUUGUUAAAAGAUGUUACUGUCAACAUCUAAAGGGAGCCGAAAUUAGGAAGUCUUUUUCUCCAACACUUCCACAUUAUGUUCUUCAUCAUAAAUUUUGUUCAGUGGUAAAUCCCACAAUUACUUCUUGUUGACUUAGCUAGUUUCAUCCGAGUGUUUCCUAUGCUUUCAUUUUAUGGACAAUCAAUGGAGACCAAGGAUACAAUCCACACGUCACUUAGCGAUGCGCUUUUAUGAGCUUGCACUAAAAAACAAUUUAAACCCAUUUAUGACUAAAAGACGUAUUCUUUUGCGUUUAAGGUUGUAAAGGUGGCAGAUUUUGGAGUUGCACGAUACCAGAGUCAAGGAGUAAUGACAGCAGAAACUGGAACAUACAGAUGGAUGGCUCCUGAGGUGAUGAAUCAGUCGGAGGAUGUUGGCGAUUUUCUGACGAAUUUAGAGAUUGUAUUCUAGAGUGUUGGCAGCAUUUUAACUGACUUCAAUCUUUUUGCGUUGAUUUUACUUUUCAUCUUCAGGUAAUAAAUCAUCUGCCAUAUGAUCAGAAAGCAGAUAUUUUCAGUUUUGCGAUUGUGUUGUGGGAACUAGUAACAGCAAAGGUAUAUCUCAAGUUGACUACAAUCUACUACAAUGCAACGUCUUUUUCUUUUUGUUUGCUUGCCUGUAUUUCAGAAAGCUAUUAUUGAGCAACCUUAUGUAUAAGAUGAGUACAUACCUUUAUCAUUGUUUUGUUGAUUGCUUAAUAGUAUAUGAUAACCAUUAACCACUACAUGUGGUUAUUCUUUUCACGCAAGCUUUUGGCAUUUCAGGUUCCUUAUGAUUCCAUGACACCAUUACAAGCUGCCCUUGGAGUAAGACAGGUUUGUGUGCUAGUUUUUGGUGCAUUACUAUUUAUGAUUAUUAUUAUGAUUGUUAUUUUAAAAAUUAAGAAACCAAAGCUUUCAUGGAAAGAAUUGAAAGAAUAUACAAGGGCAUAGGAAAAAAUCCAGCACAACAGGAGACUCCAAGAAAUUACCAAAAAAAAGGAACUCCCAUCCAACAAAACUAAAGUAAGGUCAUAGUUACAAAAGACAGACUAGUGCCCACAUUGUACCUUGCCUGCCAUCUCUCAAACCUUCAUCACAUGACCUCUCCACCUCUCCACAUUGAACCUCUUCUUUCCAUAAAAUAGCAAGGGGCUGUUUGGCAACCUCCGUUGAGUUGAAUUGGGUGGGCAAAAAAAUCUCACCCACCAUUUGGCCCAUUGCAAAAGAAAAAAAAAAACAAAAACGAUUGGUUUAUUGGCCCACUGUUUUAUUCUCUCAAUACACCUCUCAUUUCACGUGUUUUCUUUACUCUCCUCCAACUCUCUCAUUUACUCUGUUGUUUCUCUCACUGACUCACCCGUCUCUUCAUAUUACUCCUCUUUUGAUCUCUCUCAUCUUCUCUUUCUUUGUCCAUUUAGCUCGUCCUCCAUCUCCUCUUGUUUGCUUUCCUCAGAUUUCCCCCUUUUGCUCAUAUGAGUUAUUUUUGUCUUUUCAUGUUGAAUCCCUCUUUUAUCUACUUUGUCUAUUUUUCUAGAGUUGUGUCGAUGCUUUUUUUUUUUUUUAUCAGAUUUACUAGAUAAGUAGUUUUUGUAGAUUUGACUACUUUUCUUUUCCACAUUCUUUUUGUUUAGAUUUACAUUUUUGGAGUUUCUAUUCUAAGGUUUGGAUAUAUCUUCUAGCAUUUGGCUGUAUCUGUGCUGAUCACAAAGUUUUUUGUUUUCCCUCCUGAAAAUCUCAGUUGGAUCGAAAAAAUAAAAAGGAAAUUAAAAAAUUUGAAAAUUGGAAAAUGGAAUAUUUGUAGAGGGUUAAAAAUUGAGGGCUACAGAUUGGAGAAAAAUAUUUAUAUCAUGUAAUUGACUAUUCAAAUUUCAAAAAUUGAAUUCAAGAUUUGUGUUCACGAAUUUGUUAUGUUUUAAGAAUAGAAAAAAUGAAGCAUUUUUUAGUGCUAAAUUUUUUGAAAAGUAUAUGUAGAGUUAGGAGAUUAAAAAAAAAUACAAAAUCAAUUUUGUUUUCAAAAACUGUACUAAAUUUCUCACUCUGCUUUGCACCCAAAAUUUAAACUUUAUGAUUCAACUCAGCUCAAAAUACAGAUAAUCUAACUCUCCAGAUAAUCUAAUUUCUCAGAUAAUUUUUAUCAACUCAACUCUAUGUGCCAACAUCCUCUUAAGGUAAGCUAGGUUGCCACUAAAAUUUGUUCCUUCUACCUAUUGCCAUUUGAAGCCAAAGAUAAGCUAAAGUUGUAUGAGAAGAACAAUCUCUUUCUUCCAAUCUGUAGUAGCACCUAUGGACCAAUGAAAAAUGAUGGAACUUAUAAUGCUGCUAUAUGGAUCUUAGUUCGAUGAGAAAAAAAAGGAGGAAAGAUGGGGGCAAUUGGAAAAGAUUGCUGUUAAGUGUAAAAGCAACAUCAAUAUAAAUAAGAUGAAUCGAGUAUAUUAAGAAGAAUGCUCUGUUUAUUUUACUUUUCUUUAGGAUUCCAAAUUUGCGUGGUAUCUAGGAGGAGUCCAAAGCAUUGCUUUAAUUCCCCCUUUAAGGACUAAAAAACACAGUAUUCUCAAGAGUCAAGACUUAUGACUUCGUAAUCUGUUUUCAGGGACUACGUCCAGAUCUUCCCAAAAAUGUUCACCCUAAAUUGUUGGAUAUGAUGCAAAGAUGUUGGGAUGCAGAACCUGUAAAUCGGCCUCCAUUUACCGAGAUAAAAGUUGAACUCAAAAGUCUCCUAGAAGAAGUAGAGGUAUACCUCUUCCCCAUGUCUUUUGAACGGCAUGAAUUAUAUGCUAAAUGCAAACCUUCUAACUUCUAAAUCCCAUGUGUGCUUAGAUGUGUACAAAAUAUGAAGAAAAUUGUGCAGCAGUUAAUGGGAGCUAAUGUAGCUGUGUAGAAGGUGCAAUAUUCAAUUCGGCUUUACCCUGUAUUUUCCGUGAGGAUAUUUAUUUUGUUUUCCACUUUCGGUUCUUCAUAUAGUUACACAAAUAUUGUACAUCUGAGAGAGAAAAAGAAGUAUAGAGGCUGCUCAGUGCGAAAAGAGAGAAGAAAUAGCAUGUUCUCAUUACAAAAAUACUUGACCACGAGGGUGUUUUCAGAAAAUAUAGUAAAAUUAUCUGUUGUUAGCCUUUCGAGUUGUUCAAUGAGUCUCUUUCUUUCCUGUGUCUGUGUAUAUUACAUGCAUAGUUAUUUAGAGGUUGUUUAGGAGGUCUACUGUAUAUCUGACAGAGUGUUGGAAUGAGCAAGGAAUCAAGUGUGUAAAAUGAAAAUGAGACAGUGAAAUAUGAAAAACAGUCAAAAAGAGACUUUGGUUGAAAUUUGUGAUAACAAGAUGAGUUUGGUAUUACAAAUUUGGUGCCUCACCCAAUAAUGCUUAUUCUACCACUUCAUUUAGAGGCCAUUAUAGAAAAUUGGCAGCCUCAUAUAAUCAUUGCUGAAAAGCUUAUAACUAUUAUGAGGUUUACGGAUUCUUUCCGAUUUCUUUGUGCCUUUAUAUAUAAGGAGCUUUAAUUGUGUGUAUGUUUAAAGUAUUAUUAUACAUGCAGGAAUUUGAGUAAACUAUUGUUUAGUAGAAAAAGAAUAGCAGGGAAAGUAGUAUGAAUUUCAUAUGGUAGUUUACAAUUUGGCUGGCAUUCUUUGGUAUAAAGCAAAGGGGCCUAGGAAAAAGCUGGCUGGCUGGCUUGCAAAAGAAGCUUUGAGUUUUCAUGCUUUUAUACGAAGGUCAUAUUUAUUUUUUUAUUUACUAUUAAUUAUAAAAAAUUUAACUUUAAAAAUAAUGCAUACUUUGUUUCAAUUUUUACACUAUAUUUAUCACCAUUACUGCAAUUGGAUUUGACUUCCUAACCAAGCAUUCACUAACAUAUCAUCCUAAAAUUCCUCGUUUAGAUUGCAAAAAGGAAAGACAACCAUUUUUCACUUCAUCGAGAGUUAGUUUCUAUCAAUAUUAGAUUACUGAAAUAAAUAGUUGUAAAUAUAGUAAUUAAAUUUAAAAUAUUCGGAUAUGUAACAUAUAACGAUAUAGCAAAAUUUGUCGAUGAUAGAAACCUAGUAUUACCUAAGGAGAAGUAUUCUACAACUUAUAAUCUUAUUGAUGCACCGUCUUCAAUUAUAACAAAUCUACGGAAGCAAAUUGUUUAGCCUCUUGCUAAGUUUGAAACUUGGUUUACUAUCUCUUCUGAAUUCAGACUCCCCUUGAAUAAGUUUACUCCAGCUAGGCUUUAACGUUAGACUUCCACUAACAAUUAUACCACAUCUUCAAUAAUGUCGAACAUAACAUCAAACACCAAUUAUCACAGUGAAAAUACUGGUAGUUUUUUUUGUUCAAAAGGAAGCCCCACAAUACAGAACAAUUCCACAGAUAUAUGAAUAUUCAGCAAGCUUUACUAGGGUAGACCAAAAGCAAAUAAGGAUAAAAUCCCACAACAAAAGGAAAAUCCCAACCAUCCAAAAACGAAAAUACAAUUAAUAAAAGAAAAUUUUCAAGCCAACCAAGACAAGCUCGAUUUUAGUUGUAUUUCUAUAUUUUGGUGGCAGUUAAUGAAAGAUAAUCUAGAUCUUUAUUGAUUAUAUUUCUGUAACUAAAAGUCCUAGUAUGUUGCAGAACAAUAGUUAGAUGAUUAACAGUCAACAUUAGAAAAACUUAAAAAGACAUUUUGCAGUUUAAAUUAUUAUGAUUAAUACUUGAUGCUUUCUAAUCAAAAGUUUUCCAUCUUAAUUAGCCAAUCAAACUUUUGGUUAUUGUUGGAGCAAUAUCAAAAUGGAAAAACUUUGCAUGUAGAAAGGGAAAUGGGAAAGGUUUAAUUGAAAAUAUGAGAUUGGUUCUUUGAAAAUCUAAGGGGAAAGUAAACAAACUUCUCUUUGAUAAUAUAAAUGGUCCACUUGGUUCUGUUGCAGCCUUGUUGUGCAAGGUUUCCAGUUUCAACUUCUAAGAGAUUGCAAAUGAUUUUUAUGACAAUUGUGGUAAUUGUAGGAUUAUAUAUUUCAUUCAUUACUUCAUAAUUCAACCACUAAACUUUCCCUGAGGUUGCAAACUUUUGAAUCACACCAACUAUACUUACCAAAAGGUAUCGAUGCUUUUGUUAAUCUCAUAUUUGAAACUUACGAUAAUAGAAUCCAUAUUACAACAUUUUUUAAAUUAAAAGUAGUAGUUCUAUUAAUAUCAUUAAAUUUGAUGUAUUCUUAAUCUGCCAAACAAUUGGUUUCAUAAUAUGUUAAUGAACUUUAACAAUUUAUUUUAUCAAUAUUUUCAUGAUUUUUGGAUACAUCUAAGUUUGUGCUAUUAUUGGUGGUAUAAACUUUGAAAUUGUGAAUGAACUAGACUGACAUGUUUUCCAAAAAUCACUUUUUAUUUUUCAUGAUUUGGCGUAACUAAUAAUGCAAAUUGGCUUUAACCAAUUAAAGUUUAUUAUUUCCAUAUUUCCAACUCCACUUUUAAUUAGUACUUUGUUAACCUCAAAACAAAAUCACAAAAAUGAAUUUCUAAGAAAAAUAUGUAUUCCCACUUUCAUCACUUAAAAGUUGAUCAAUGGUCAAAUUUUAGCAAUCUUAGAGAAACAAUUUUGAAAAAAAUGACAUUUCCUUUCUAUUACUUUAUUUUUUCUCAAGAAAUCUUUUAAGUCAUCUAAUUUUGAGGGGAGAAAAAAACUCAGUUUACCAUCAAUGGCGAAUUAUUAUUAUUAUUCUUAUGAAUUUAGUUUUAGCAACAUGGCUAGAAUUGGCAUUCAUAGCACAAGAAGAUGUGAUAUAGAACUUAAAAAAUUAAGCUUCACUAGAUAUCAACAAAAAUAACAAUUUACUAUACCAAAAUCUCAAAUUAGUUAGUCACAAAAUAAAUCAAUCAUUCAUAUAUAAAUAAACACAAUUAACAUGCAUGAUCCCUAUACAAAAUAAUAAAUCGUUUUAUUAAUAGAUGUUUAAAGACAACGAAUUACCUAAAGAAAUCUCUAUCAUAUAAUAUGAUAGUCUUUCUUUUUUCACAAAAACUCUGCAUAGUUCUAAUUUUUAUCACCGAAUAGAUCACAUAUCAUCCGUGCUAGUUGUUUAUCCUUAUAAAUUCAUAACAUCACGUACAUCUUCUUAUCUAAUCGAAUACAAGACUUUACUUUGAUCUCAUUCUCUAACCUAUUAUUAUAAUCAUUUAUUUGUGUGUCAAUGAAAUCGUUAAAGGCCAAACAAAAACAUGAUUUUGUGGACCUAAUUAAAAUCAAAAGCAAAGCUAUGGAAACUUACAGAAAAGAUGCAUAAAAAAUUCGAAUAAAAAAUCUCCCCUAAACACCAUUUUGAGAAUACUUUGAUUGAAAAAAAAAGUAGAGAUGUUACAUCUCUAUUUCAUGCAAGAAGAGAAAGAAGAAAAAAAGGAACAAUUUUAGAAAACAUGGAAAACUAUCAAAGAUUAGCAUCUCAAUGUUGUGUUUUCUUUUGUUUUCUCUUUUACUCUACAAAGUAAACAAUAUUCAAAUGUAGUAAAACAAUAACAACUUUUUCAAUAGACAUACUGUGUUUCCAAAAUUUUGAAGAAUUAUAUAUACUCCAACGCGUCUUGCCAACUUUCUUAAUAUUAUCCAACUUGGAUUCUUCUUCUUGUUUCAUAGUAACAAUUUUCUCUUUUUUCUCUUUUCUAUUUAUUCCUAUAUAUAUAACCUCAAUUGAACAACGUCCUCUAGUACUGUUCACACAACCCUUGAUAGCAUAUAUAUGUAUGUGAACCUAACCCCACUUUUCAACUAUUGCUCACAAAUAUAUACACGAUUGUGACAACUUAACGUUUAGAUGAAUCAAUAUGUCCUCUCUCUUAAAAGAAUCUUCAUCAUCUCAUUCCAUUUCAUGUGUGCCUAAACAUAACCCCUUUGGGUAAAAAUAAUUCAGUGUUAAUUUUUUUUAAAAAAAAUAUCCCUUUUGUGUCUCCUAAUCUUCAUUUAUGUUAAGUUAGGAAGAUGGUGUAAGAUAAAAUGUACUAUGUUUAGAGAGUGAAAAACAAAAUGCAACCUACUUUUUUAUAAAAGAAAAAACCUAACUAAAACCCUUAACAUAAAAGAAAAUCAAUGAUUAACUAUAAUAGAUAGUAAAUGAUAGAGAAAGGUUAGAAGUUUAAACAAUGCACCAAACACUUUUGAAAUACAGUGAAUGAAAAAGAAUUUGAGCAACACAUCUUGAAAGACUUCAUAUUUUUUGGGAAUGCAUUUAUGAAAGAUUGACGAGGAAAGGAUGUUAAGUUUAGAAAAGUUGAGUAAGAUUAUAGAGAGUGUCAAAUUUGACUAUAUAUAAAAAGAUAGAAGAGAAAGAGUUUAUUAAAUACGACAAGAGAUGAUUUUGAUGAAAACGUGUGGGGUUGGGAGAGAGAGUAGAUUUUUACUACAAAUUCAAACUCAUUUUUUUAUGAAGAGAGAAUCCAAAAAGAUGGCUUUUUUAAAAUGAAGAAAAAAGAAGCAAAGUCUACACACAACUUGGUACUCUUACUAAUACUCAUAUGCUGGACAUUGUGUUCAUUUCUUCCAUUUUGCUAUAUCUAUAUCACAUCCCUACUCUUUCCUUUUUAUUAUUAUCGUAAUCUAAUUUCAAAACAAAGUAGAUUUAGAGGAACAUUACACUAAUGUUAACAUCGACCUCCAAAACAAUAAUGCAUUCUUUGAUAAAACCUUGAUACUAAGGUUAAGAUUAUUUUUCUAUAAAAGAUACUAUUUUGUCUUUAAAAUUUGGGUUUAGUUUUCAACUUGCUCCGUAGAUUUUAAAAUGAAAACUACUGUAAACGAUAAUACCGUUAAAAAUAUUUACAAAUAUAGCAACCUUUUAAAAUCUAUACACGGAUGGAAAUGUAUCAAUGUCUAUCGUGAUUUGAUAAACUGUGAUUUUUUUUGCUACAAUAGUAAAUAUAUUUUAAGCAUCUUGACCUUUAAAAUAAAAUUUUUAUUUAUUAUAUUUAAAAAUAUUCUACACCAAUAAAAUGUUAAAUUAUCUUUUAAUUUUUGUUUAGAGUUGAAAUUAAUUGAGAGGGUAUGGUAUGAUUAAGUUGGUGGCUUCUACGCGCAUUCACCUAACUUUAGAUUCAUCUUUACCCUUUUUGUAUAUCUUCAAUUACUUUGACAUUUUUGUUUUCUUAUUAUUCAAAAGUUUUUAGAAUAAUCCUUUUUUUAUUGGGUGUAAAAGGAAGAACACAACACAUCUUUCUGUCCAUCUUCUUUGUCCAUUAUUCUAAAAGAUUUGAUUCCAUUUUCCAUGAAUUCUCAUACUUUUUCCUUGCAUUAUUAAGCUUUCAAUUACAACAAUAACCAUCCAUUUAUUAUUAUUAUUAUUAUUAUUUUCAUUUAAGUCUAUUUGAUUCUAAAUUUUUAAAAAUAUUUUAUAUAUUCAAAGGUCGGAGAUUUAUUGAAAUGCUUUGAAUUCUCGCCGUAUGAACGAUCUAGCUUGCAACACCACCAAGUCUCACCUCAUUCUUAAAAGCAUAUUAACAUGACUAAAAUGUUUUCAUUCUCCCAUAUUAUAAGAUAUUUUUUCAUGUUCAAUCCAUUGAAAUACUAAGUUAUAACUAUAAGUCGCUAUGUCAAUGGACGGUCCUAUCAAAUAUACAUCCAAACAGAGUAAGACAAGAGAAGAAGAAGAAAAAAGGUUUACUCCUUACCAUGAUGGAUUUAUUUGUCCCAUGAUAGGUGAAGACUUGUUGAAGAUCAAACAAAAUUUGAAUUCAUUCUAAUUAACUUUGUUUUCUCAUAAUAUUUCCUUUUUUGUUUUGUUCCCAGUGGAGUCAGCAAAAGUACACAGGUGAAAAAUUCACACUUGCUAAUAUAAUCAUUUAAGGUGCAAAGUAGAUUCUUAUUGUCGAUAUGUGUUAUAAUAAUUUGUGUGUUACUACAAUCUAUGUGUAGAUGCAGAUCCUUAUAGAGUUUGAUUUAUAAUAGUAUACAUAUUUGAGGUGUUGAUUAUUUUAAUAUAUUUUAUAAUACUAUGUAUAUUGAUUGCAUAUUACUAUAGCCAGAAACAUAACGGUAUGUAAAUUAAAUGUAAGUUAUUUUAGAUCAUGUAUAAUUUUUGUAUGAUUUUUUUAUCAUACAAAUAAUUAUGUAUGUGAAAUAUUAUUUUUUCAAAAUAUAAUUAAAACUAUAGUUCUUUAUACCAAAUUAAUUGAAUUUUAAUUUAUGUUAAAAAAAAUUAUGUAUUGUUUUGCCAUUUAUGGAGAUACUUUAGUUAACUCAUAAUGGUAUAAUUAAAAUAUUAUAACAAAGAUGACAAACAAAAAAAAUAUUUCAAACUUAGUUUUCUUAUUUUCAUUUUUUUCUUUUUCUAGAUCAUUUUUAUUUAUCGUUUUCUAAUUAUUACUAAACAGGUUUGAUUCAUUCUCUUGAAAGUUUCAACUCAACAUAAAAUAUGUAGAGUUUGUUUUAAAAACAGAUGAUUAUACGUUUGACUGAAUUGUCAUGAAUAACUUCAAGUUAUACACUCAUGAUUUUUCUUUUUGUUAAAUUACAAAAGUACUUCCUUUAACUUUCUCAUUUGGAAGAAAAAUGAAUAUUUAUUUUCUUCUUAAAUUAACUUCAAUACCAUUGAAAUUCUCACUAGUUCUAGUCUUCUAGAUCACCACCAUAUUAUUUAAAAUCCCAAAUUUAUAUUUAGAAUUUUAAAAAAUUACUGUUUAAAGGUAUUUGGAAAACAUUUACAAAAGAUAUAUAUUAUAAAAAAAAUAGAAAUAUUUAAUUAAAUAAUAAUAUAAUAAAAUUUCAUUUUUGUUUACAUAUGGUAAUACAACUAGUGAAGAUGUAGAUACAUGUUGAAUAGAAAAAAUCUAAUUUUUUUUUAUAGAAAAAUCUCACUAACCUUAUGCAUUCAUUAACCACCCCAAUAAAUAAACUCAAAUUGAUCUCACAAAUAUCAUUAAUUGCACAUUAGAAUCAUUUUUUAGUAAAGAAAAAGCAAGACGACCAAUUUGAGAAAGUAAAAUAAAACAAGGGAAAAUGCAUGCCAGCUUAUUAAUGAGGACAUUAGCAACCUUAGUUUAAAUAAUCAAUUAAUUAAUUGCUUCAUGUUUUUGAGAUCUAACAAAAGCAUAGUUGUUGUAAGAUAUUACUAAAAUAUAAGAACAUUCCAAUGACAAAAAAAUAAAAAAAGAAAAGAAAGAAAGAAAAAAAUAGUGCAUGCUUUGAUGUAAUAAGCUUUUAAUCAAUCAAUUUUUUAUUCAUUUAUUUACUUUUGAGAAGAGACUUUGAAAUAAUGCCACAAAAUUGUCUCAUAAUUUUAUAUAAAGUUGACUUUGAAAUUAUAAGGUUGCUAGAAAAUUAAUUUGGAGGAAGAUUAAUAAUUACAUUAUUUUAUUCUUCUCACAUGGGGAAUGUUUCAUUCAUCUCUAACAAGUGUUUUUCUUUCAGAAAAAAUAAAUGCAAGUUCAAAAAUAUUUGUCAAUCUACAAAUUUUGUUUGCAGACAACUUUGUAUCAAAAAAAUUUAUACAAUUAUUUAUUUAGUAUCUCCAUGUAUUUGAUAGAAAUAGUAUGAAGUUUGAAGACUAAGUGAUUCUAUCGGUGUUUAAACUAAUAGGUGAGAACAACCAUAAAUUUAAUCACUCCCUUCAAAUUUUAUAAUAUAAAGAAUCUAACUCACUAGUGCACAUCAUCAAUUAUCAAAAAUUGGAUUCUCUUAUUGUUUCUUUCCUUUUUUUUUGUUACUAUUAUUUUUAUUUCCAUUCACAUCUUCAAUAGUCAAUUCUAUUUUAAUUGUCACAUGUCACUAAAAUACUUAUUGCCUAUCUCUACCAUAUUGGUGGAAAAAAUGUAAGAAAUCUUCUAACAUUUUAUAAAUACAUGACAUGUUUAAGAGGGUUUAACUAAUGCAUAAAUUUAUAAUAAAAAAUAGAUCAUAAAUAUCUAGUUAUUAUAGUGAAAUAAAACCCCUAGUGUAAGACAUCAAAUUAUUAUUAGGACUAAAUUUUAAUUAUAAUCUAUAAAUGUAGAUGUUGAAUAAAAUUUAAAAUUUAAUCUAAAAAAUUAGGAAUCAAUAAGAAUGAAUGCUUUCAUCUAAUGUUGAGCUAAAAACAAAGGUAAUAUAAAGUUUAAAAUGGUAAUUUAACUUGAAAAUUUAAAACUAUAAAAAGGAAUUAAUUACGGGGUUAUUUAUUUAAACUUUUUGAAUUUGGUAGAAAAUUAGGAAUUAGUAUAGUGACGUUUGGGUUUGCAAUAGAAUAAUGAUUAAUCAAUGAGUCCCAAACUUCAUUGCAAUUAUUGUGGGUGGGUCUCUUAUGAUUGGAUCGACCAUAUAUUAAAAUAGAAUUAGAAGUGUGUUUAAUUUAUGUCAUAAGAAGAAACAUUAUAUUAUUUUUCCUAACACAUUGACCCAUGCAAACUUUGAUAAAUAGGCCUCACCAGCCUUACACCUAUAUUUGUCGCUCUAUUCAACUUAAUUAGUAUACUUUUUGUUAAAAUUUUCUUUUCACACAUAUCAAUUAUUUAAACAUACUUUACCUCUUUAACAUCACGUUUUACCCAAUCUAUAAUCAAAAGUUGUAUUAUCAUCCUCAUUUUCUAUCCACGAAUCUAUCUAAAUAUUUUGCAUUACCUUUGUCGUUAUCGUUUAGAUCAUUCAAUAACGAUAAUAGCAAAUAUGACAUUUUCAUACUUCUUCCAUUGAUUUUAUUUUACAUAUAUUAUAAUAUUUUCAUGUAAUUAUCAACCAUAAUUGUAUUGAGCAUCCCUUCCUACACAAAAUCGUUAUUGAUUGUUCGUCAAAAUUGAGUAUUUUUUGGUUGGGAGCAUACCAUAUAUAAGACUUCCAUUUUAAUGAGAUUGAGAUAAUAUGAUCUCCAUGUGCUUAUAAAUUUCUUAUACUUUUCUUCUCACAAUUAAUCUCUACUUUAAAAAUAUAUAGAAAUACUAACAUUUAAUAAAAAAAACAUUUAAUUAUUUAAUCAUGAUGCAAUAUACAUAUAUAGUUGAACAUUAGUCAAGUUUUUAAUAAAGGUAAUUAUUAUUGGAUAUUUGAAUGUCUAUUGUCUCUAAUAGUUUGAAAUGUUUAACUUCAAAUAUUUACUAUACACACCCUUUGUUUCAACUAAAAGAAGUCUUAGAUUUUGAAAAGUGAUUAGGUUAAUAAUUAGGUUAAUAAUUAGGUUAAUUUUGAAUGGAGGUCUUAUCAAACGACUAAACAAAGAGAAGGAAUUGAAAGAUUUGAUAAUGAAAAGAGAGCAACACUUAACUACGAUCUACUCUCUCGUCACAAAAAAGAAAAAUUAUGUAGUUGAAUAAUUAAGUGGAACAUAGAAAAUAGAACUAACUGUUGUUAUAUUUGUGUAAUGAGAAAUUAAAAGUGAUGAAAAUGCAUUUAUUAAGCUAUUAAGUAUAGCACAACCUCUGCUUUGAGCAAAAAAGGAUGAGCUAAGAUUCAUUACAGAUAAAGACAGUACAUGAGAAGUAAAGCCGUUUUACAAAGCAAAUACAUGUGAUUUGAUUUAAAACCUGCAAUAAUAAUAUUGGAAAGCUGUAAUAUAAUAAUAUCAAUAGUAAUAUAUGAAAAAGAAACACCAAAUAUACUAUAGAGAUUGAUUCCUUUCAUUUCCCCUAUUGAACCAAACUAAAAUUCACACUGUGUGCUUCAAAUCUUUCAAACAAAACCCUCUUAUUUUGACUUCCACAUAUAUAUAUUCUCAUCUUCAGAUCCCUGCACAACACAACAAAUUAACCAAAAUUAAUUAUUUGGACCCAAGUUUUUGUUUUUUAUUUUUGAAUUUUCUCUAUCUAUUGGGGUCCCUACCACUGAAUUUUGGAUAUAAAUCAUAAACAGUAGUCCAAAUUUUAGUGACGGCCAACCAAAUUUUUAUGAUGUUAAAAAUCCACAGAAUUAUUAUUUGUUUGUUUUCAUUUUCAUCCACAUUUCUCUGUCCUUUGAAAGUAACAUAUAUUAUUAGUUAUGUUUACUGUUAUAUACGUGGAGAAAAGACAACGCAAUUUGGUGGGAGAUUUAAAAUUACCUUGACCUAGGACAUUUAAUUCCUAGUAGUGUGGAGGUGGCGGUGGCGAUGAGUAGUAAUAAACGGGAGGUGGUGGGGAAUGGUAUACUGGUGGUGGUGGAGAAUGAUAGACCGGAGGUGGUGGGAGUGGUAUACUGGUGGUGGUGGAGAGUAGACGGGAGGUGGAUAGUAUACUUUCUUUGGUGGUGGUGGAGAGUAGACGGGAGGAGGGUAGUAUACCUUCUUCGGUGGUGGUGGAGAGUAGACGGGUGGUGGGUAGUAUACCUUCUUCGGUGGUGGUGGAGAGUAGACGGGUGGUGGGUAGUAUACCUUCUUCGGUGGUGGUGGAGAGUAGACGGGUGGUGGGUAGUAUACCUUCUUCGGUGGUGGUGGUGAGUAGACGGGGGGUGGGUAGUAUACCUUCUUCGGUGGUGGUGGUGAGUAGACGGGAGGUGGGUAGUACACCUUCUUCGGUGGUGGUGGUGAGUAGACGGGAGGUGGGUAGUACACCUUCUUCGGUGGUGGUGGUGAGUAGACGGGAGGUGGGUAGUAUACCUUCUUUGGCGGUGGUGGUGAGUAGACUGGUGGUGGGUAGUAUACUUUCUUUGGUGGUGGAGGAGACUUAUAGACGGGUGGUGGAUAGUAUACCUUCUUGGGAGGUGGGGGAGACUUGUAGACUGGAGGUGGGUAGUAUACCUUCUUUGGUGGUGGAGGAGACUUAUAGACGGGAGGAGGGUAGUAUACCUUCUUGGGAGGUGGGGGAGACUUGUAGACGGGAGGUGGGUAGUACACCUUCUUGGGAGGUGGGGGAGACUUGUAGACGGGAGGUGGGUAGUACACCUUCUUGGGAGGCGGGGGAGACUUGUAGACGGGAGGUGGGUAAUACACCUUCUUAGGUGGCGGAGGAGACUUGUAGACGGGAGGUGGGUAAUAAACCUUCUUGGGUGGCGGAGGAGACUUGUAGACAGGAGGUGGGUAAUACACCUUCUUUGGUGGUGGUGGAGAGUAAACUGGUGGUGGAUAGUAAACCUUCUUGGGUGGUGGUGGAGAGUGAUACACUGGAGGUGGAUAGUAUGAUUUCUUGGGUGGUGGAGGAGAAUGGUAUACUGGAGGCGGGUAAUAUACCUUCUUAGGUGGAGGAGGAGAAGCGUAGAUAUAAUUAGCAUUGGUAGUGGACGGCAGAGUUAGGGAAAGGAGAGCAACAAAGGCAGCAAAAAGAAUAGGAGCCAUUGAAGAUCCCAUUUUUCCCAUCCUUGAAUGGAUUG